GGAGAGAUGGCUCAGCGGUUAAGAGCACUGGCUGCUCUUCUAGAGGUCCUGAGUUCAGUUCCCAGUAUCUACA
Non-coding RNA from Rattus norvegicus (Norway rat), 73 nucleotides. NCBI's taxonomy places the organism in Eukaryota, Metazoa, Chordata, Mammalia, Rodentia, Muridae. The record is from Rfam.